This 278-nucleotide long non-coding RNA is filed under the name Phoenix dactylifera (date palm). Its description in RNAcentral is "long non-coding RNA (PDAC_LNC000496)". Lineage: Eukaryota; Viridiplantae; Streptophyta; Magnoliopsida; Arecales; Arecaceae. The record is from RNAcentral.
GGUGGGGUUUGGAUAAGAGUCAGGCUUUGUGCGGGUCCACCAUUAAGACGGUGGUCCAGAAGAUCGCAGCCGUCUGAUUUGAUUUCAUACUUUUCAAAGUGGAAUCCAAAGGAAAUAAUUGGGGUUUUUCAUAGGGGAAUUGGUGGGUUGGUGAUCCUAUAAAUUAAGAUCAUGGUGCGAUCCUAUUAGUCCAACCUGUAGAUGUGGGGUGUUAGGAGUGUUCAAAGUAGGUAUCAUGCUCUCCAUGCAGCUAAUCCAAGUAAAAAUAUUUAAGACCC